This 891-nucleotide ribosomal RNA is filed under the name Wolbachia endosymbiont of Culex pipiens. Its description in RNAcentral is "bacterial SSU rRNA". It matches the Rfam family "Bacterial small subunit ribosomal RNA", at positions 73 to 997 of the family's 1533-position model. Lineage: Bacteria; Pseudomonadati; Pseudomonadota; Alphaproteobacteria; Rickettsiales; Anaplasmataceae. The record is from RNAcentral.
UUGUAGCCUGCUAUGGUAUAACUUAGUGGCAGACGGGUGAGUAAUGUAUAGGAAUCUACCUAGUAGUACGGAAUAAUUGUUGGAAACGACAACUAAUACCGUAUACGCCCUACGGGGGAAAAAUUUAUUGCUAUUAGAUGAGCCUAUAUUAGAUUAGCUAGUUGGUGGGGUAAUAGCCUACCAAGGUAAUGAUCUAUAGCUGAUCUGAGAGGAUGAUCAGCCACACUGGAACUGAGAUACGGUCCAGACUCCUACGGGAGGCAGCAGUGGGGAAUAUUGGACAAUGGGCGAAAGCCUGAUCCAGCCAUGCCGCAUGAGUGAAGAAGGCCUUUGGGUUGUAAAGCUCUUUUAGUGAGGAAGAUAAUGACGGUACUCACAGAAGAAGUCCUGGCUAACUCCGUGCCAGCAGCCGCGGUAAUACGGAGAGGGCUAGCGUUAUUCGGAAUUAUUGGGCGUAAAGGGCGCGUAGGCUGGUUAAUAAGUUAAAAGUGAAAUCCCGAGGCUUAACCUUGGAAUUGCUUUUAAAACUAUUAAUCUAGAGAUUGAAAGAGGAUAGAGGAAUUCCUGAUGUAGAGGUAAAAUUCGUAAAUAUUAGGAGGAACACCAGUGGCGAAGGCGUCUAUCUGGUUCAAAUCUGACGCUGAAGCGCGAAGGCGUGGGGAGCAAACAGGAUUAGAUACCCUGGUAGUCCACGCUGUAAACGAUGAAUGUUAAAUAUGGGGAGUUUACUUUCUGUAUUACAGCUAACGCGUUAAACAUUCCGCCUGGGGACUACGGUCGCAAGAUUAAAACUCCAAGGAAUUGACGGGGACCCGCACAAGCGGUGGAGCAUGUGGGUUUAAUUCGAUGCAACGCCGAAAAACCUUACCACUUCUUGACUUGAAAAUCAUA